This is a non-coding RNA of Candidatus Burkholderia humilis, 130 nucleotides long. The record is from Rfam. NCBI's taxonomy places the organism in Bacteria, Pseudomonadati, Pseudomonadota, Betaproteobacteria, Burkholderiales, Burkholderiaceae.
GUAUUGUGGGGACCACCUCGCCAAAAAGGUGUUUGGCCUUAGCCAGCGAGGACGACUUGCACGCGAGAAUUUAGACCCCUUCGUGCAAACACCAGCCAGUCGUCGAUAGCAAGCGAAGCCGCUUUUUUGG